GCCCCUUACUACGGGACAGCCCGGCGAAAGUCGGAUUAAUACCGUAUGUGGUGUGAAGAGGGCAUCUGACUUACACUAAAGAUUCGUCGGUAGGGAUGGGGAUGCGUCCGCAUAAGCUAGUUGGCGGGGUAACAGCCCACCAAGGCGACGAUGCGUAGGGGUUCUGAGAGGAAGGUCCCCCACACUGGUACUGAGACACGGACCAGACUCCUACGGGAGGCAGCAGUGAGGAAUAUUGGUCAAUGGGCGGAAGCCUGAACCAGCCAAGUCGCGUGCGGGAGGCAGGCCCUACGGGUCGUAAACCGCUUUGGAUGGGGCAUAAUCAUGCGGACGAGUCGGCAUCUUGUAGAGUACCACAUCGAAUAAGCAUCGGCUAACUCCGUGCCAGCAGCCGCGGUAAUACGGAGGAUGCGAGCGUUAUCCGGAUUUAUUGGGUUUAAAGGGUGCGCAGGCGGCCUAUUCAAGUCAGCGGUCAAAUUGCGGUGGCUCAACGCUCGUAUCGCCGUUCGAAACUGAGUUGGCUAGAAGUGAGAGUGAGGAAGGCGGAAUGCGCGGUGUAGCGGUGAAAUGCAUAGAUAUUGCGCAGAACUCCCGAUUGCGAAGGCAGCAUACCAGUGCGCCAACUGGACGGCCUCAUAGCACGGAAAGCGCGGGUAUCGAACAGGAUUAGAUACCCUGGUAGUCCAGCGCCGGUAAACGAUGGAUGCUAGCUGUGCGCCCUGAUUAGUGCCAGCGCGGCCGAGCGAAAGCGUUAAGCGUCCCACCUGGGGAGUACGCCGGCAACGGUGAAACUCAAAGGAAUUGACGGGGGCCCGCACAAGCGGAGGAACAUGUGGUUUAAUUCGAUGAUACGCGAGGAACCUUACCCGGGCUCGAACUGCAUGCUGCAUGGGGCAUUUGAGAUGAUCCAUGCCCUUCGGGCGCUGCUGUGAAGGUGCUGCAUGGUUGUCGUCAGCUCGUGCCGUGAGGUGUCGGCUUAAGUGCCAUAACGAGCGCAACCCCCCUCCCCGGUUGCCAUCGGGUAAUGCCGGGCACUCCGAGGACACUGCCACCGCAAGGUGUGAGGAAGGUGGGGAUGACGUCAAAUCAGCACGGCCCUUACGUCCGGGGCUACACACGUGUUACAAUGGCAGGCACAGAGAGCUGGCGCGUCGCAAGACGCGUCGAAUCCUUAAAUCCUGCCUCAGUUCGGACUGGGGUCUGCAACCCGACCCCACGAAGCUGGAUUCGCUAGUAAUCGCGCAUCAGCCAUGGCGCGGUGAAUACGUUCCCGGGCUUGUACACACCGCCCGUCAAGCCAUGAAAGCCGGGGGCGCCUGAAGUCCGUGACCGCAAGG
RNAcentral lists this ribosomal RNA (1337 nucleotides) under uncultured bacterium. Its description in RNAcentral is "bacterial SSU rRNA". It matches the Rfam family "Bacterial small subunit ribosomal RNA", at positions 128 to 1446 of the family's 1533-position model. The record is from RNAcentral.